RNAcentral lists this ribosomal RNA (252 nucleotides) under uncultured bacterium. RNAcentral describes it as "partial 16S ribosomal RNA". It matches the Rfam family "Bacterial small subunit ribosomal RNA", at positions 524 to 776 of the family's 1533-position model. The record is from RNAcentral.
UACGUAGGGUGCAAGCGUUGUCCGGAAUUACUGGGCGUAAAGGGUUCGUAGGUGGCUUGUUAAGUCAGACGUGAAAUCCCUCGGCUCAACCGGGGAACUGCGUCUGAGACUGAUGAGCUCGAGUGCAGGAGAGGAACGCGGAAUUCCAGGUGUAGCGGUGAAAUGCGUAGAUAUCUGGAGGAACACCGGUGGCGAAGGCGGCGUUCUGGACUGCAACUGACACUGAGGAACGAAAGCCAGGGAGCAAACGGG